UACAGAGGGGGCAAGCGUUGUUCGGAAUUACUGGGCGUAAAGGGCGCGUAGGCGGCUUUUCAAGUCGGGCGUGAAAUCUCCGGGCUUAACCCGGAAGGGUCGUCCGAUACUGUUGAGCUAGAGUGUGGAAGAGGCAACUAGAAUUCCGUGUGUAGCGGUGAAAUGCGUAGAUAUACGGAGGAAUACCUGAGGCGAAGGCGGGUUGCUGGGCCAACACUGACGCUGAGGCGCGAAAGCCAGGGGAGCAAACGGG
This 253-nucleotide ribosomal RNA is filed under the name uncultured bacterium. Its description in RNAcentral is "partial 16S ribosomal RNA". It matches the Rfam family "Bacterial small subunit ribosomal RNA", at positions 524 to 776 of the family's 1533-position model. The record is from RNAcentral.